Molecule: long non-coding RNA, 4319 nt
Organism: Gasterosteus aculeatus aculeatus (three-spined stickleback)
Lineage: Eukaryota; Metazoa; Chordata; Actinopteri; Perciformes; Gasterosteidae
Source: Ensembl
GUUUCAUAGCGACCAAGUCGUAGCUAAAGACACGGUAAUUCACAUAGAUUAUCACAGAUAAUGUCACACAUGCGGUUAAAAUGUCGCGCAUUGUCUUGGUUCAAGUUACUCAACUGUGGCAAAUGAACCUAUAUGAUAAAGCUGUGCACAAACUCCAGUUUUUUCGAGCCAUGCAAACAAUUUAGCAUAAUCGAAAGGACAACAUAACGAGGGUCGGGAUAUCCCGAGCCUGCCCUCUCCCUCCACUGAGCAGAUGAUGGUUACAUCCGGGAUCCUGGGAUGGAGACAAACGACAUUAAACAGCUUGUACAAGCACGAGCAGAGGACCUGCAACAGUUUUGGUUCCCCCAGUCCAGAUCCCAUCGGAGUGGGAAGACCUGGAAAUCCAGUUGCAAGCCAAGGAAACGGUAAUCUCUGAUCUGGAGAGGAAGCCCAGAGACGUUUUCCAACAGAAACAAAAGACUGUAACCCAGGUGCUGGAGGGCAGUAGGAGGCUCUCGUGUCUGCAGCGGAUCCAGAAAGGCGACAUGAAGGAGAUCGCUGAGAAAGACACUUGCAUCACCAAACUGCAGGCCGACACUGAGCUGCUGCAGCAAGAGGGGGGCCGACGCAGACGCUCAGCUGAAUGGGAGAGAGCGAGGGAGCUUCAGCAGGAGCCGAGGCGAAAAAGAUGAGGAAUGGAGGCAAAGCGAAGACGAAAGGAGGCAGAAAUGUGAAAAGCAGUGUCAGGAGGCAGACGAGGCGGCUGAGAAAAGUGGAGGAGGUGAAGAAGAGGGAGGAACAACAACGGCGGGAGGGGAUUGAGGAGGAGAGAGAGGCCCAUACUCGAAUCUAUAAAAAGGGGACUGAGAAGUCUGAGUUGCCGGUCAGAGUCUCACCAGAAGGAGGAGAUUCUUCUCUCUGAGGUUUGGAAAACACAAGCAAAAGAAGAAAAAGAAAAAGAUGAAAGCGCGAGAUGAGCAUGGGAGCCACCUGGACCAGGAUGUGGUUGGUUUGCGAGCCACACGGGACUCUGUGACGGGAACCUUGGCAAUGACGGAGAAACAAAAGCAACAGCUGGUCAUUGACAAUGCACGGCUCAAUGAAAGCAGAGCAAACUGCAAACCACCGAGUGCUUGUGGAACGACACCCGUGAAACAACACCGGCCCCGGACACGGAAAGAGCAGCAGAGAGUGCAGAUCCAAGACCAGUUGCACCGCUCCAACAAAGAGAAGGAGCACGUGCAGCAGGAGCUGAUACACGUGCGUCACACACCACUGAAAAGAAGAAGAGGGAGAUUAGGACGUGCGCGCUGGUGAGGGAGCUCACCGAGAGUAAGAUGCGGCACUCUGAAUGUCAAAAUGAGGCCUUGGGGGGACCUGAGCGGGGAGAGGGACGAGCAGGGGGCCCAGACGGGGGGCCGGAGCAGAGAGUCUGACCACGGCAUCCAGAACGAAGAGACACCGGAGGCUGAGAAGGUCCAUGACAACAGGACCUUACACCUGCAGGAGGAGGUGGGACCAUUGAAACACGAGGUCGGAGGUCACCAGGAUGAGUCGUGUCCGCUCAGCCAAGAGGCCGGAGGGAUGCAGCGCCUCAUGGAGCAGAAAGAGAAGCAGCAACAGCGGCGGCUACGCCAUCAGCUCCGCGUUGGUCGGCAACAGGUCGAGACAUUUGGAGGGAAGCUAAAGAAGCAGGAGGUUGAGAUGGAAAUUCUCCGUGAGCAGCUGAAAGGAGCCGAGGAGGUGAUAAGAGACGCAGGUUUACGAGCCCGGGAGCAGAAGGAAACCAUAGCCAUUUUUAGACAAAAGUACAACGCAGCCAUGGAGAAGGUGCAUCGGGUGCAAGGACAGGUGGAGCUAUUGAAAGAGGAACUACAGUACUCACAGCAACAGCUUCGAGAUUCCCAAUUGGCCGCGCAUUCAGCGAAAGAGGAGCUCGCUGGGAUGGAGCAGCGGUAUCUGGAGAAGGUCGGCCACUGGGAGAACGCCCAGGAGGCUUUAGACCAGUUGGCGGAUGAACUCCUGGCGAGCCGGACCCUCCUGAGGGAGAGUCAACAAAGAGCUGACCACCUUAAAGGCUUAGUGGAAACCAUGCGGGAGCAGGUGGACACGAUCAAACAGCAGAAGCUGAUGUUGGAGUGCGACCGACAGCUGCACCAACAGAGUCGUUGUGAUGAGCAGUGGCACAGAGAGCAGCUACACAAGCGCUGCACCGAGCAGGUUGUGCGCCUUGCCGAGUGUGAAAAGGCGAUUCUUCAGAUGAAGUCGGAGCUGGAGAGACAGGUCCGGCGAGAAGCAGAUCGGAGGCAAAGUUCCGUUGCUUCCCGCCGUGCAAACAUGAGCGAUCGCAUCCAACUGGAACAGGAAGUGAUACAUCUGAAAAAGGAAGUGGCAGCCGUAAGGCGUGAGCCGGCGGACACCCAAAAGGUUCAUAUGGCACUUGGCCGACAGUCAGAGGAGCAGCUGAAGGAGGUCAGGAGAGCGGCGGCGAGGCGGAGCGGCGAUGGGUUCGCGCACAGAGAGGAGGUGCAGAGACUUCAGGAGGACUUACUGAAGGCGGAGGAGAGAAUGAGGAGGCAGUUGAGUCGAGAGCUGGAGGAGCCGCGCAGCGAGCCGCAAGUGACAGCGGAGGAGUUGGCAACCCGUGCAGAGGAGGCGAGGCGGAUGCAGGGGCGGCUGAAUGAGGGAAAGCUAGCGGAGGAGAAAAUAAGGUCACGGGACGGGGGGCCGGAGACAGAAGUGGCGGCGCUCCGGAGGAAUCUUCAGCAUGCUGUCGAUCACAAACUCCAGGCGGAGCGGGAGAAACGGGAAGCCCGGGAACAGGUGGACACACUGCUGGCGGAGCUGGAGGAGACGCGGUCUGAGAAGGCAAACCUGCGCCAUGAGAGCCAGUUGGUCGUGACUAAUGUCAACUGUUGGAUUGCUAAACAAAAAGCUUCCAACGAGAGCCUCAGUGGCCGGACGGAGGCCCAGAACAAGGUGCUGCUCAUCCUCACUGAAGAGAAAGCGCACCUUCAAGGUUCUAAUGACGCGUUGAAAGCGGAGGUAACGCGACUAAAAGAGGUGGGGGACGAGAAGACGAGAGACACGGAGCGCUUCCAGGUGAACGAGCAAUGAGCUAGUGGGGAGAGACCAAAAGAGAGUCUAUCGCAACAACAGAUUUGUUUUUGUUUUUUAUCUUCCUUUUGUACUUUGUUCGCAGGCCUGGACCCGGGCGUCCCGCAAGACAGGAGAGCCAUGGAAAAGCAGAGCUGUGCGGCUGUGGCUCUAAACCUCAGCAAAAUCCAGGACAUGCAGACUAGACUUCGAAGCAACCUGGAGGCCAUCAGAAUGCUAAAUCAACAAUUGAACUCUCUCAGCGGGGAGAAUAAGCGGUUGCGCAGGCAGCUGGAGGACGAGCGGUCCGUGCGCAGACUGCUGCCUCCUCUUCCUCCUCCUCCACCUUCCAGCAGAGCUCCAUCGUCCACCUCCCCCUGUCCCCCGGUGCUCACCCGGCUCUCCUCUCUGCGCCCGCCUUGUUCUCGUCCCACCGCCCCCCCCCCCCCCUCCACCCCUCAGGCGUGGACAGAGCCUCGCUGUUGGGACAGGUGAGUCAGGGGGGGGGGGUCAGGCCCAACGCCUCACUGGGAAAAGUGCUCGGCCCGGGAGGACGAGCGGGGAUCUGAACAGACGAAGCAACACUGAAGACUUUGACCCGUCAUGACUCGUUGGCCUCCACCUCCUCGCCAGGGAGCGAAGUCAGUGCGAGGUUAAUGUCCUGCAGGUCCAAGCCGACUCCCAGGGUGCUUUUUGGCCUGAAGGGGGCUCCAGAACCGGCGAACGAUGGAAUUCCCUCAAAUCAUGUAAUAUCCACUCAGGAUAUUUCUACUGCUGGGCCAGAAGGAGAAGGAGAAUUUAUUCCAAGAAUAUAUAUAUAUAUAUAUUAUGUUUAAAUAGAUUCUGACACUUAACAUCAAAAAUGUAUGCAUCCUCAAAAUGCUGUAAUGCUCUGAAGAGCGGCAGCCCGUCUUCACGAAAUGAUCACAAAACUCUAAAGACCAAGAUGUCACUUGUCUGCACUUACUUGAAGUAAAGGGUUAGAGGUCAUCAGAACUGUCAGAAUCUUCAACGUAUAAUCAAAUGAACUAAAAAGAACAGGUUGUUGAUGAAUGUGUCUUACACAGAGAGUCGCGUCGGACGAAUGGGGGGGCGACGUGUCCUCAGUAUCCUCGAGUGCCUGUGGAUGAGUGUGUGAUUGAGUUUAUUAGAUGUUUGGUAUUUUGCUUUAUACUAAAAAACCACUUAUUGAUUCCUCUCUGUUGCUGCCCCCCCCCCCCCCCUCGUGUUGUAUGGACGGG